Long non-coding RNA from Boleophthalmus pectinirostris (great blue-spotted mudskipper), 221 nucleotides. RefSeq lists it as uncharacterized. The transcript is spliced from 3 exons. The record is from RefSeq and is a predicted model, not a curated record. Lineage: Eukaryota; Metazoa; Chordata; Actinopteri; Gobiiformes; Gobiidae.
CUCAAUUACUUGCAUAAUUCUUUUUUUCUCCCUUUAAAACUUAUUGGACAUGAUGGAUCUAAGCAUGAAAUGGGACUGAAGAGUGGGGAAGGACAUUCAGCAAAUUGACAGUACCGUGAAUCUCAAUGAGGGAAACCAGAACAGAGACACAACAGACGUCAACACAGAGAGAAGAUACAACUGCCAUACACUGUUUUUUGAAGAACAGAGGAGAGAAGGAG